UAGCAUAUCAAUAAGCGGAGGAAAAGAAACCAACAGGGAUUGCCUCAGUAACGGCGAGUGAAGCGGCAACAGCUCAAAUUUGAAAUCUGGCCCUAGGCCCGAGUUGUAAUUUGCAGAGGAUGCUUUUGGUGCGGUGCCUUCCAAGUUCCCUAGAACGGGACGCCAGAGAGGGUGAGAGCCCCGUACAGUUGGACACCAAGCCUUUGUAAAGCUCCUUCGACGAGUCGAGUAGUUUGGGAAUGCUGCUCAAAAUGGGAGGUAUAUUUCUUCUAAAGCUAAAUACCGGCCAGAGACCGAUAGCGCACAAGUAGAGUGAUCGAAAGAUGAAAAGCACUUUGAAAAGAGGGUUAAACAGCACGUGAAAUUGUUAAAAGGGAAGCGCUUGUGACCAGACUUGCGUCCGGUGAAUCACCCAGCUCUCGCGGCUGGGGCACUUCGCCGGCUCAGGCCAGCAUCAGCUCGCUGUCGGGGACAAAAGCUUCAGGAACGUAGCUCUCUUCGGGGAGUGUUAUAGCCUGUUGCAUAAUACCCUUCGGCGGGCUGAGGUACGCGCUCCGCAAGGAUGCUGGCAUAAUGGUCAUCAGCGACCCGUCUUGAAACACGGACCAAGGAGUCAACCUUAUGUGCGAGUGUUCGGGUGUCAAACCCCUACGCGUAAUGAAAGUGAACGCAGGUGAGAGCUUCGGCGCAUCAUCGACCGAUCCUGAUGUUCUCGGAUGGAUUUGAGUAAGAGCAUAUAGGGUUGGACCCGAAAGAAGGUGAACUAUGCGUGUAUAGGGUGAAGCCAGAGGAAACUCUGGUGGAGGCUCGCAGCGGUUCUGACGUGCAAAUCGAUCGUCAAAUAUGCGCAUGGGGGCGAAAGACUAAUCGAACCUUCUAGUAGCUGGUUUCCGCC
Molecule: ribosomal RNA, 895 nt
Filed under: Colletotrichum acutatum
Lineage: Eukaryota; Fungi; Ascomycota; Sordariomycetes; Glomerellales; Glomerellaceae
Also listed under: 1 other name
Description: LSU rRNA
Rfam family: Eukaryotic large subunit ribosomal RNA
Source: RNAcentral